AGGAAUAAAAGAGGUUAACAGAUUGCUGAACACUAGCCAUGACACAGAUAAUUAAAAAGCCUACUACAAACCUAAAUAAAUUCGAAACAAUGGCACAAAGGGAUAAACCAUAAAAAUGAAAGACAUCAAGGACAAAGGAUGGACUAGAAACCUUAAGUCCGUCCAGAGCGCUUCCUCGUAUACGGCAAGCCGAUCGGAGGGCGGGUUAUCUAUACGUUCGUUUAUCCUAGGAAGCACGAGAUCAAAAUUUAGAGGGAUUCCAUGCCAAACUCGUAUCCGGCUCAAAUCGUCUGAAUUUAGUACCAAACUAUAGCCGUUGGACCCAACCUCGCUCUGAUUGGCCAUUUCUGGACCAAAGGGCUAGAAAGCUAUCUAAAGAAAGAAAGGAGAAAUGGGAAGAUAGAUAAGUGAGAAAGAAAACCCACCUGAGAGCGAGAAAAGGAGGUAGAAGGAAUGAAGUAGUCACCAAAACCUUCAAAAGCCCCUCUGAAGAAUAGCACCAUGAAUGAAAGAGGAGAGCUUCUUGUUCCGAGAAGCUACAGUAAUAAAAAAGAGAAAAGAAGAAUAGAAGAGCCUAACAACA
RNAcentral lists this long non-coding RNA (583 nucleotides) under Elaeis guineensis (African oil palm). RNAcentral's name for it is "long non-coding RNA (EGUI_LNC006266)". Lineage: Eukaryota; Viridiplantae; Streptophyta; Magnoliopsida; Arecales; Arecaceae. The record is from RNAcentral.